AUUGAACGCUGGCGGCAUGCUUUACACAUGCAAGUCGAACGGCAGCACAGGGAGCUUGCUCCUGGGUGGCGAGUGGCGCACGGGUGAGUAAUGUAUCGGAACGUGCCUGGUAGUGGGGGAUAACUACUCGAAAGAGUGGCUAAUACCGCAUGAGAUCUUUGGAUGAAAGCGGGGGACCUUCGGGCCUCGUGCUACUGGAGCGGCCGAUAUCAGAUUAGGUUGUUGGUGGGGUAAAGGCCUACCAAGCCUGCGAUCUGUAGCUGGUCUGAGAGGACGACCAGCCACACUGGGACUGAGACACGGCCCAGACUCCUACGGGAGGCAGCAGUGGGGAAUUUUGGACAAUGGGCGCAAGCCUGAUCCAGCAAUGCCGCGUGCAGGACGAAGGCCUUCGGGUUGUAAACUGCUUUUGUACAGAACGAAAAGUCUCUGGCUAAUAUCUAGAGAUCAUGACGGUACUGUAAGAAUAAGCACCGGCUAACUACGUG
Molecule: ribosomal RNA, 488 nt
Filed under: uncultured bacterium
Lineage: Bacteria
Description: partial 16S ribosomal RNA
Rfam family: Bacterial small subunit ribosomal RNA
Source: RNAcentral